Molecule: ribosomal RNA, 521 nt
Filed under: uncultured bacterium
Lineage: Bacteria
Description: bacterial SSU rRNA
Rfam family: Archaeal small subunit ribosomal RNA
Source: RNAcentral
AACCUCCGCAAUGUGAGAAAUCGCGACGGGGGGAUCCCAAGUGCCAUUCUUAACGGGAUGGCUUUUCAUUAGUGUAAAGAGCUUUUGGAAUAAGGGCUGGGCAAGACCGGUGCCAGCCGCCGCGGUAACACCGGCAGCUCUAGUGGUAGCAGUUUUUAUUGGGCCUAAAGCGUCCGUAGCCGGUUUAAUAAGUCUCUGGUGAAAUCCUGUAGCUUAACUGUGGGAAUUGCUGGAGAUACUGUUAGACUUGAGACCGGGAGAGGUUAGAGGUACUCCCAGGGUAGAGGUGAAAUUCUGUAAUCCUGGGAGGACCGCCUGUUGCGAAGGCGUCUAACUGGAACGGUUCUGACGGUGAGGGACGAAAGUUAGGGGCGCGAACCGGAUUAGAUACCCGGGUAGUCCUAACUGUAAACGAUGCGGACUUGGUGUUGGGGUGGCUUUGAGCUGCUCCAGUGCCGAAGGGAAGCUGUUAAGUCCGCCGCCUGGGAAGUACGGUCGCAAGACUGAAACUUAAAGGAAUU